AAUGAACGUUGGCGGCGUGGAUUAGGCAUGCAAGUCGUACGCCCCGCAAGGGGCGUGGCGCAAGGGUGAGUAAGGCGACGGCAACCAACCUGGGGGCCGGACAUAGCCGCGGGAAACUGCGGGUAAUAUCCGGCGCCGUCGGAGGAUGGCAUCAUCUCCCGACGAAAGGUGUGACUCCGCCCCCAGACGGGCCGUCGUGGUAUUAGGUAGUUGGCGGGGUAACGGCCCACCAAGCCUGCGAUGCCUACCGGGCGUGCGAGCGUGGCCCGGCACACUGGGACUGAGACACUGCCCAGACACCUACGGGUGGCUGCAGUCGAGAAUCUUCGGCAAUGGGCGCAAGCCUGACCGAGCGACGCCGCGUGGAGGAUGAAGGCCUUCGGGUUGUAAACUCCUGUCGAGGGGGAACAAGGUGCCGUGCAGAGCGGCGCUUGAGUGAUCCCUGGAGGAAGCACGGGCUAAGUUCGUGCCAGCAGCCGCAGUAAUAC
RNAcentral lists this ribosomal RNA (488 nucleotides) under uncultured bacterium. RNAcentral describes it as "bacterial SSU rRNA". It matches the Rfam family "Bacterial small subunit ribosomal RNA", at positions 28 to 526 of the family's 1533-position model. The record is from RNAcentral.